RNAcentral lists this ribosomal RNA (301 nucleotides) under uncultured bacterium. Its description in RNAcentral is "partial 16S ribosomal RNA". It matches the Rfam family "Bacterial small subunit ribosomal RNA", at positions 509 to 807 of the family's 1533-position model. The record is from RNAcentral.
CAGUCGCCGCGGUAAUACGUAGGGACCAAGCGUUGUUCGGAUUUACUGGGCGUAAAGGGCGCGUAGGCGGCAAUUCAAGUCACCUGUGAAAUCUCCGGGCUUAGCUCGGAACGGUCAGAUGAUACUGCUUUGCUAGGGUACAGAAGGGGCAAUCGGAAUUCUUGGUGUAGCGGUGAAAUGCGUAGAUAUCAAGAGGAACACCUGAGGUGAAGACGCGUUGCUGGGCUGAUACUGACGCUGAGGCGCGAAAGCUAGGGUAGCAAACGGGAUUAGAUACCCGGGUAGUCCCUGUCUCUUAUAC